GCCUUCUCGUAAGACAAUCAUUUUUUCAUGAUGACGUGAGGAACUUCACCAAAUUGGGAGGUGGUGUCACUGGUUGUCGAGGGUUUCACUCUAGCUUCUGCACUACCCAAGGUGGUUUGUCAUUGAAUAUGAAUGUCUUGACUACGAUGAUCCGGACCCCUGGUCCUGUUAUAGACUUUUUAACUGCCAACCAGAAUCUCAGGGAUUACUAUCAGAUUGACUGGGCCAAGGCCCAGAAGAUGCUGAAGAAUCUGAGGGUUAUGGCUAGGCAUAAUAGUAUGGAGUUCAAGAUCAGAGGAUUAAGUGAGAUGUCGUGCAAUCAGCAGCUGUAUGUGCUCCAUUCUUUCUCACUGGAUUUUAUUGCUCUAUUCCUUUGUCAAGCAAGUUACAAUUCACAUGAUACUUGCUUAA
Magnolia sinica is the source of this 411-nucleotide long non-coding RNA. RefSeq lists it as uncharacterized. The transcript is spliced from 3 exons. Lineage: Eukaryota; Viridiplantae; Streptophyta; Magnoliopsida; Magnoliales; Magnoliaceae. The record is from RefSeq and is a predicted model, not a curated record.